This 688-nucleotide long non-coding RNA is filed under the name Neogobius melanostomus (round goby). RNAcentral's name for it is "lncRNA (ENSNMLG00000024525.1)". The record is from RNAcentral. Lineage: Eukaryota; Metazoa; Chordata; Actinopteri; Gobiiformes; Gobiidae.
AUUAGGUGGCCCUAGAGACACACAACCGCGUGUUUGAAUGACCCUGAUUCAGUGUGACCUGCUCCUUUUAAGUUGGGCUCAAAACGCAUCAAGGUUUGGACGCUUUAAGCUUCAUUCAUUCUUUUUAAAUCAACAGAGGACUAUUUUAAUUAGGACAGAUUUAUUUUUGACGCAAAAAUAACGUUGAUUGGACUUGUCGGCUACCUGAUGAUUAGUUGGCCACCGUCACGUGCUUGGCGCUACCUUACUUUUUCUUGAAUGGGUCACGUCAGCGGCGCGCGCCUGGGAGCGCACUCUCUCCCGGAUCUGGUCACAGACGCGCUCUGGCUCUGCGAGGAGCAAGGCGAGCCGUGCUGCCACAUAGGAUCUCCUUUGAUUUGGAUUUUACGCAAUGAAGUCAUUCAUUGUAUACGAUGACUGGAUUUAUGAUCAAAUUCUCAAGUUAAAGCCACGGGCGGCUACGACUUUUAAGAGGAUUCCUGGAAUUAUCAUGUCCAGCCACAACAACAUGGAAUGUCCUGGGAAUGAAGUGAAAUAAAAUUCUCAAAGUCAGGGGCUGAACGUUGAGCCUCACGUCUCAGCUGUGAUCAUGUUUUAAAAGACACAAAGAUGGAGAGUGACCAGGCAGAGACGACAGGAGCGAUUGUCCUGGCGCUGCCUCUCUGAUGUGAUGUAGCCCCUUGUAACC